AUGAAGGAUAAACAAUCUGAUAUUGAUGCCAAUGAUCUGUUUGUUGAGUUGAAGUUCCUUCAAAAUUUCAUGCCAAAGGAAAAUAUGGGACCUGUUGAAAUUCUGAAUUUUUUGAAGCGGCAUGACUGUUUUCCCAAUGCAAGUAUUGCAUAUAGAGUUCUGUUCACCAUUCCUGUGACAGUUGCAUCGGCAGAAAGAAGUUUUUCUAAGUUGAAGCUAUUGAAGUCCUAUAUGCGUACUACUAUGACACAACAAAGACUCAAUGAUUUGGCCACAAUAGCACUUGAGAGUGAAGUGUUGGAGAAGAUUGAUUACGAGGAUAUCAUUGAAGAUUUCAUAUCAAAGAAUACUAAAAGAAUGAAGUUUUUCAAAUAA
RNAcentral lists this ribosomal RNA (375 nucleotides) under Triticum aestivum (bread wheat). RNAcentral's name for it is "partial small subunit ribosomal RNA". The record is from RNAcentral. Lineage: Eukaryota; Viridiplantae; Streptophyta; Magnoliopsida; Poales; Poaceae.